This 2233-nucleotide long non-coding RNA is filed under the name Zostera marina. RNAcentral describes it as "long non-coding RNA (ZMAR_LNC006062)". Lineage: Eukaryota; Viridiplantae; Streptophyta; Magnoliopsida; Alismatales; Zosteraceae. The record is from RNAcentral.
UCCAUUCAUACACAAAUAUCCAUAAAAAUUAUGCAAAACAAUGAACCAAUCAAUUCCAAAACAUUCCAUUCAAUUCUUCAAUUCUAUACCAUUCCAAAAGAUAAAAGAAAAGGAAUGAAUUCUAAACCAUUCUAUACAAUUCCAAAACAUACCAUCAAUUCCAUACCAUUCCAAUUUUCAUACAAUUCAUGUCAUUUAAAACAAAACUAAACGAAAAGAUAAAUAAAGAGGAACCUAUUUGUUAGUGUCGGUCAUGCUCUUAGUCGCGCUAUUCGUCCCACUUUUAGUCGCUUUUUUGCCAACAUUUUCGACAUUUGAAUCUCUUGUAGUAGGCGUGAUUAUGUUGUCGUGUCCUUGGCUCGACUGACCCUAAUGUAAAAAAAAAUUGAAAUUACAAAGAAAAUAUGAAUAUUGAUUUAUAUAUAAAUGCUAAUUACCUCAAUCGUCUCUCGACGUAAGUCUUCCCUUAGUUCCUUUAGUAUAUCUAUAUUUAUUCCACUGUAAUAGACUAACAGUACUCUAAGAUUAAGUGAUAACAUGUUUGAAUAUCUAUAUUUCAAACAUACUUCUUCUUAUCCUUAUCUCACCUUUUGCAGAUUUGAUUUGAUUAAGAAGAUAUUCUCUUUCUUGCGGAUCAAAAUUAUGGAGAGAGAUCCCAAUGUAUAGAAACUAUACAGAAACUAUACUGGGUUGCUCAAUAGAGGUGAGCUGAUCGUAAUUGGGUUGCUCAAUCUUAACAGCCAGGAUAUCCCAAACCGACUAUAUCGGCUUCCCCAUAUUUUCCUUCUAAAAAGAAUAAUGUUCUGCUUUUCAUAUGUUCUUGUACAAUCUUCUUAUCAUUAUGUGUAGGUGCAUUCUUUGCGAUCACUAUCCAAAUUUUUUUUGUUUAAACAUAAUAUUUUUCUAACAAGAGUUUAUUUUCUUCUAAAAAAGAUGGAUUCCUAGGACAUUUGAUGUACUAAUAUAAUUCUGAAAUAUUUUUUUAAACUGCCAACUAGCUUAAAUCCACCACAAUUAGACAAAUCAAUGGUGGAAAGAAAACAAUCUUGGUUCAUAAGGGUAAAGAUUUAUAGUAUUUAUCAUCGGCAUAUAUGAUUUGAAUUUUCAUAGCAACAUUUAACUAAAAAAUCUGGCUUGCAAACUGACCUUUAAAGUGAAAUCAUUGUUGGUUUUAGAUAUUUGAAUUUAUUUAAUCUAUUUCAUAACAAAAUUGUUACAAAUACUCUGGUAUGAUGACAUUUCUAUUUGGAAGGAAUGUUCAUAUAAUUCUCUAUUUGGUAACUUGAUAUUUUUCUCAUGUAUAAUAAAUAUAUAGUUCAUAUUGUUUUUUUACAAGCGGUAAUUUUUUCAUUAAAAAUAAAGGGAGGUAACCUGAAUUACAAUUAAUGAAGAGAAAAAUAUAAAUAGGGGAGAUGGGGUGAAACCCAUCAACACUCUGCUAUGUAGCUAUAACAUUUAUAGAUCUCAGGUCUAAAAGAUAGGCUGGUGUCCUUGAUUAUUUGUUUCAGCAGUAUUUCUGAUGGCUUCAGGCUGUGUUGCCUUAGGUUUUCUGUUCCUUUUGGAUCAGAUGUACGUACCAAGCAGGCAAGUAAGACUCCUUAAGAUAAUCUAAUGUAGGCUCUUUGGAGGGGAAUAUCUCAUUAUUAAUUUGGUUUAAACUUUAAAGCAUAAUAUUAUCUUUUAUUUUGGCUUCUAUUUAGAAUUCUGGAUAAAGAGAAUAUUGCUUACAUGAAAAUGGAUAUUUCUAUAACAAAGUCAUCCAUUGAUCUCUCUCCAUAAAUUUCAAAUCAUUGACAUUAGAAUAUGAGCAGAGACCCCAAUAUGCAGGAAACUAUACAGAAACUAUACUGCAAUGUUUCUUGGGGAGCAGAGACCCCAAUAUCUCACCUCUUGCAGAAACUAUAUUAUCCUGAUUGAAAUCGUUGAUUUAAAUUGAUUCAAAAAUUGAUUUAAAUUGAUUCCUGAAACAAGAGGAGACUGCAAUUGGUACCUGAAACAAUCAAGAAGGAACAACUACGAAACCCUAGAAUAGUAGUUUAUCGAGUCUGGCGAUUUGCUGCUGCUCUCCCUUCUCUUCUACAGUCGAUGUUGAGAAUUCUACAGUCGAUUUGCUGCUGCUCUCCCUUCUCUCCGCGUGACUUCUACAGUCUGUUGAGAAUUUUGUAGUGUCCGAUCCGAACUCGGGGGAAUGAGAGGAACUCCUUUGCCGUUGGGAGGGAAUGGGGGGGGGGGG